RNAcentral lists this ribosomal RNA (253 nucleotides) under uncultured bacterium. RNAcentral's name for it is "partial 16S ribosomal RNA". It matches the Rfam family "Bacterial small subunit ribosomal RNA", at positions 524 to 776 of the family's 1533-position model. The record is from RNAcentral.
UACGAAGGGGGCUAGCGUUGUUCGGAAUUACUGGGCGUAAAGCGCGCGCAGGCGGUCUUUUAAGUCGGUGGUGAAAUCCUGGAGCUCAACUCCAGAAUUGCCUUCGAUACUGAGAGUCUCGAGUCCGGGAGAGGUGAGUGGAACUGCGAGUGUAGAGGUGAAAUUCGUAGAUAUUCGCAAGAACACCAGUGGCGAAGGCGGCUCACUGGCCCGGUACUGACGCUGAGGUGCGAAAGCGUGGGGAGCAAACAGG